UACAGAGGGUGCAAGCGUUAAUCGGAAUUACUGGGCGUAAAGCGUGCGUAGACGGUUACAUAAGUCGGGUGUGAAAGCCCCGGGCUCAACCUGGGAAUUGCAUUCGAGACUGCGUAGCUAGGGUGCGGAAGAGGGAAGCGGAAUUUCCGGUGUAGCGGUGAAAUGCGUAGAUAUCAGGAGGAACACCGGUGGCGAAGGCGGGUCUCUGGGCCGUAACUGACGCUGAGGAGCGAAAGCAUGGGGAGCGAACAGG
RNAcentral lists this ribosomal RNA (253 nucleotides) under uncultured bacterium. Its description in RNAcentral is "partial 16S ribosomal RNA". It matches the Rfam family "Bacterial small subunit ribosomal RNA", at positions 524 to 776 of the family's 1533-position model. The record is from RNAcentral.